Molecule: non-coding RNA, 60 nt
Filed under: Blattella germanica (German cockroach)
Lineage: Eukaryota; Metazoa; Arthropoda; Insecta; Blattodea; Blattellidae
Source: RNAcentral
UCGGGUAGUUAUGUUUAGUACUAUGUGAAUAAUAUUAGUAAUGAACAUAAUUACCUAUAU